CUCUACCAUCAUCAUGAGAUAUGCUUUU
RNAcentral lists this non-coding RNA (28 nucleotides) under Mus musculus (house mouse). Lineage: Eukaryota; Metazoa; Chordata; Mammalia; Rodentia; Muridae. The record is from RNAcentral.